UGAGCAUCUGUGAUGAGAACUUAAAAUCGUCAUCCUUGCACUUUGAUUGCCAGUGAAGAAAUUGGGGAAAUUUGUUUCUCUGAGAUGCCU
Molecule: small nucleolar RNA, 90 nt
Filed under: Punica granatum (pomegranate)
Lineage: Eukaryota; Viridiplantae; Streptophyta; Magnoliopsida; Myrtales; Lythraceae
Description: Small nucleolar RNA snoR26
Rfam family: Small nucleolar RNA snoR26
Source: Rfam by way of RNAcentral